Molecule: long non-coding RNA, 598 nt
Organism: Oryzias melastigma (Indian medaka)
Lineage: Eukaryota; Metazoa; Chordata; Actinopteri; Beloniformes; Adrianichthyidae
Exons: 3
Source: RefSeq, a predicted model, not a curated record
GGACAGCACAUGUUAGAGGUUUUGGAGAUAAAGUCAGAGAGGCCGGACUGAGAUGGUUUGGACAUGUUCAGAGGAGAGACAGUGAAUAUAUUGGUAGAAGGAUGCUAGUCUAGGUCUACCAGGAGAAAGGUCUAAAAUAAGACCACAGAGGUUUAUGGAUGUGUAGCAGGAUAGAUUGCUGCAGGUGUGGCUGGGAGGCUAAUUGCAGGAGGAGGCCUCUACAGGCACUAUAAAAAACAUUAAGGAGCCUACUGGCCAUUAUGGGCAUUUUGGGACAGCCCACUUCCUGUUGCACACUUCCUGUUACACUCACAGUUCUUCUGUCCUUCUCAGAUGAAGAACAGCCUGUUUUGUGCUGAGUCUUGUGCCCAGGUGAAGGCUUUCCCCCCACUUGAAGUGUCGUGUCCUGGUGAAGGGAUUCACAAGUGAGUGUGCAGUAUUGUAUGAGUGGAUCUGGACUAAUCAGAUCAGCUAACUGAUCUGAUUAGUUUUGUGUGAUUGUGUUUUUUUGAAUUUUUUCUUUUUGUAAAAUGCUUAUUUUUAGUUCUGAGCCAUGCCUCCUGCCUUUGUGUGCAAUUGAACGGUCCUCAUUUUAGCU